AGUGAACGCUGGCGGUAGGCCUAACACAUGCAAGUCGAACGGCAGCACAGUAAGAGCUUGCUCUUACGGGUGGCGAGUGGCGGACGGGUGAGGAAUACAUCGGAAUCUACUUUUUCGUGGGGGAUAACGUAGGGAAACUUACGCUAAUACCGCAUACGACCUACGGGUGAAAGCAGGGGAUCUUCGGACCUUGCGCGAUUGAAUGAGCCGAUGUCGGAUUAGCUAGUUGGCGGGGUAAAGGCCCACCAAGGCGACGAUCCGUAGCUGGUCUGAGAGGAUGAUCGCCCACCCUGGAACGGAGCCACGGCCCAGACUCCGACGGGAGGCCGCGUGGGGGAUUUUUGGCAAAUGGGCGCAACCCUGCCCCACCCUUCCCGCGUGGGUGAAGAAGGCUUUCGGUUUUUAAACCCCUUUUUUUGGGAAAGAAAAGCAGCGGGUUAAUCCCCCGCUGUUCUGCCGGUACCCAAAGAAAAACCACCGCCUAACUUCGG
RNAcentral lists this ribosomal RNA (491 nucleotides) under uncultured bacterium. RNAcentral describes it as "partial 16S ribosomal RNA". It matches the Rfam family "Bacterial small subunit ribosomal RNA", at positions 29 to 506 of the family's 1533-position model. The record is from RNAcentral.